GUGCUGGCUUCGGCAGCACAUCUACUAGAACUGGAACGAUACAGAGAAGAUUAGCAUCUUACACAAGGAUGACAUGCAAAUUCAUGAAGUGUUCCGUACUUUU
Molecule: small nuclear RNA, 103 nt
Organism: Camelus dromedarius (Arabian camel)
Lineage: Eukaryota; Metazoa; Chordata; Mammalia; Artiodactyla; Camelidae
Source: Ensembl